AGAAUCAACGCUGGCGGCGCGCUUAACACAUGAAAGUCGCACGAGAAAGUGGAGCAAUCCAUGAGUAAAGUGGCGUACGGGUGAGUAACACGUGGAUCAUCUACCUUUUAGUGGGGAAUACCUCCGGGAAACUGGAGACAAUACCGCAUAAGCUCGUGAGAGGAAAGCCGAAAGGCGCUGAAAGAGGAGUCCGCGGCUGAUUAGCUAGUUGGCGGGGUAACGCCCACCAAGGCGAAGAUCGGUA
RNAcentral lists this ribosomal RNA (244 nucleotides) under uncultured bacterium. RNAcentral's name for it is "partial small subunit ribosomal RNA". It matches the Rfam family "Bacterial small subunit ribosomal RNA", at positions 26 to 285 of the family's 1533-position model. The record is from RNAcentral.